RNAcentral lists this ribosomal RNA (536 nucleotides) under Salmonella enterica subsp. enterica serovar Typhimurium. Its description in RNAcentral is "bacterial SSU rRNA". It matches the Rfam family "Bacterial small subunit ribosomal RNA", at positions 997 to 1533 of the family's 1533-position model. Lineage: Bacteria; Pseudomonadati; Pseudomonadota; Gammaproteobacteria; Enterobacterales; Enterobacteriaceae. The record is from RNAcentral.
UUUCCAGAGAUGGAUUGGUGCCUUCGGGAACUGUGAGACAGGUGCUGCAUGGCUGUCGUCAGCUCGUGUUGUGAAAUGUUGGGUUAAGUCCCGCAACGAGCGCAACCCUUAUCCUUUGUUGCCAGCGGUUAGGCCGGGAACUCAAAGGAGACUGCCAGUGAUAAACUGGAGGAAGGUGGGGAUGACGUCAAGUCAUCAUGGCCCUUACGACCAGGGCUACACACGUGCUACAAUGGCGCAUACAAAGAGAAGCGACCUCGCGAGAGCAAGCGGACCUCAUAAAGUGCGUCGUAGUCCGGAUUGGAGUCUGCAACUCGACUCCAUGAAGUCGGAAUCGCUAGUAAUCGUGGAUCAGAAUGCCACGGUGAAUACGCUCCCGGGCCUUGUACACACCGCCCGUCACACCAUGGGAGUGGGUUGCAAAAGAAGUAGGUAGCUUAACCUUCGGGAGGGCGCUUACCACUUUGUGAUUCAUGACUGGGGUGAAGUCGUAACAAGGUAACCGUAGGGGAACCUGCGGUUGGAUCACCUCCUUA